Molecule: transfer RNA, 71 nt
Filed under: Ictidomys tridecemlineatus (thirteen-lined ground squirrel)
Lineage: Eukaryota; Metazoa; Chordata; Mammalia; Rodentia; Sciuridae
Description: Spermophilus tridecemlineatus (thirteen-lined ground squirrel) tRNA
Rfam family: tRNA
About the family: Transfer RNA (tRNA) molecules are approximately 80 nucleotides in length. Their secondary structure includes four short double-helical elements and three loops (D, anti-codon, and T loops). Further hydrogen bonds mediate the characteristic L-shaped molecular structure. tRNAs have two regions of fundamental functional importance: the anti-codon, which is responsible for specific mRNA codon recognition, and the 3' end, to which the tRNAs corresponding amino acid is attached (by aminoacyl-tRNA synthetases). tRNAs cope with the degeneracy of the genetic code in two manners: having more than one tRNA (with a specific anti-codon) for a particular amino acid; and 'wobble' base-pairing, i.e. permitting non-standard base-pairing at the 3rd anti-codon position.
Source: Rfam by way of RNAcentral
GUGGCUGUAGCUCUGUGGUAGAGCUCUCGCCCUGCAUGUGUGAGGCACUGGGUUCAAUCCUCAGCACCACA